RNAcentral lists this ribosomal RNA (488 nucleotides) under uncultured bacterium. Its description in RNAcentral is "partial 16S ribosomal RNA". It matches the Rfam family "Bacterial small subunit ribosomal RNA", at positions 28 to 507 of the family's 1533-position model. The record is from RNAcentral.
GACGAACGCUGGCGGCGUGCUUAACACAUGCAAGUCGAACGGUGAAGCUCCAGCUUGCUGGAGUGGAUCAGUGGCGAACGGGUGAGUAACAAGUGAGCAACCUGCCCCUGACUCUGGAAUAAGCGCUGGAAACGGCGUCUAAUACUGGAUACGAGAAGGGUCCGCAUGGGCACUUUCUGGAAAGUUUUUCGGUUGGGGAUGGGCUCGCGGCCUAUGAGCUUGUUGGUGAGGUAAUGGCGCACCAAGGCGACGACCGGUAGCCGGCCUGAGAGGGCGAACGGGCACACGGGAAGUGAGCAGCGGUACAGAGGAAUAAGGGAGGCAGCAGUGGGGAAGGGGGGAAAAGGGGGGAAAUCCUGAUCCAGGGAGGAAGCGGGGGUGAAGAAGGUCGGCGGAGUGUGAAGCACUUUUAGUGGGGAAAAAGGGUAGGAAGGGAAAAACUUGCUGGGUGGACGUUACCAAAAGAAUAAGCACAGGCUAACGUCGUG